CUUUAGCCCCGAUUGCAGUGGAAAUCCUUUUAUGCCGGUGUUCGGCACAAAAGAUUGUAGCAGAAAGCGGGACGAUGU
Molecule: small RNA, 78 nt
Filed under: Flavobacterium sp. 1
Lineage: Bacteria; Pseudomonadati; Bacteroidota; Flavobacteriia; Flavobacteriales; Flavobacteriaceae
Description: Flavo-1 RNA
Rfam family: Flavo-1 RNA
Source: RNAcentral